CCUACGGGGGGCUGCAGUGGGGAAUAUUGGACAAUGGGGGGAACCCUGAUGCAGCCAUGCCGCGUGUGUGAAGAAGGCCCUCGGGUUGUAAAGCACUUUCAGUGAGGAAGAACGCCUUGUGGUUAAUACCCAUCAGGAAAGACAUCACUCGCAGAAGAAGCACCGGCUAACUCCGUGCCAGCAGCCGCGGUAAUACGGAGGGUGCGAGCGUUAAUCGGAAUUACUGGGCGUAAAGCGCGCGUAGGUGGCUUGAUAAGCCGGUUGUGAAAGCCCCGGGCUCAACCUGGGAACGGCAUCCGGAACUGUCAAGCUAGAGUGCAGGAGAGGAAGGUAGAAUUCCCGGUGUAGCGGUGAAAUGCGUAGAGAUCGGGAGGAAUACCAGUGGCGAAGGCGGCCUUCUGGACUGACACUGACACUGAGGUGCGAAAGCGUGGGUAGCAAACAGGAUUAGAUACCCCGGUAGUC
Molecule: ribosomal RNA, 465 nt
Filed under: Vreelandella stevensii
Lineage: Bacteria; Pseudomonadati; Pseudomonadota; Gammaproteobacteria; Oceanospirillales; Halomonadaceae
Description: partial 16S ribosomal RNA
Rfam family: Bacterial small subunit ribosomal RNA
Source: RNAcentral